GCAUAACGCGAAGAACCUUACCAAGGCUUGACAUGCAUCACUAAGCGCGUGAAAGCGCGUGACCCUUCGGGGGAUUUGCAUAGGUGCUGCAUGGCCGUCGUCAGCUCGUGUCGUGAGAUGUUGGGUUAAGUCCCGCAACGAGCGCAACCCUUGUGACUAGUUGCCAGCACGUUACGGUGGGAACUCUAGUCAGACUGCCCAGAUCAACUGGGGAGGAAGGUGGGGACGACGUCAGGUCAGUAUGGCCCUUACGCCUUGGGCUGCACACGUACUACAAUGCCCAGCACAAUGAGAACCGAGACCGCGAGGUGGAGGAAAUCUAAAAAACUGGGCCCAGUUCGGAUUGGAGGCUGCAACUCGCCUCCAUGAAGUUGGAAUCGCUAGUAAUGGCGCAUCAUCUACGGCGCCGUGAAUACGUUCCCGGGUCUUGUACACACCG
This 439-nucleotide ribosomal RNA is filed under the name uncultured bacterium. RNAcentral's name for it is "bacterial SSU rRNA". It matches the Rfam family "Bacterial small subunit ribosomal RNA", at positions 954 to 1392 of the family's 1533-position model. The record is from RNAcentral.